This 253-nucleotide ribosomal RNA is filed under the name uncultured bacterium. RNAcentral describes it as "partial 16S ribosomal RNA". It matches the Rfam family "Bacterial small subunit ribosomal RNA", at positions 524 to 776 of the family's 1533-position model. The record is from RNAcentral.
UACGGAGGGUGCAAGCGUUAUCCGGAUUCACUGGGCGUAAAGGGUGCGUAGGCGGUCGGGUAAGUCUAACGUGAAAUCUCCGAGCCUAACUCGGAAACUGCGUCGGAUACUAUUCGGCUAGAGGAAUGGAGGGGAGACUGGAAUUCUCGGUGUAGCAGUGAAAUGCGUAGAUAUCGAGAGGAACACCAGUGGCGAAGGCGAGUCUCUGGACAUUUCCUGACGCUGAGGCACGAAAGCCAGGGGAGCAAACGGG